Non-coding RNA from Caenorhabditis elegans, 21 nucleotides. The record is from Ensembl. NCBI's taxonomy places the organism in Eukaryota, Metazoa, Nematoda, Chromadorea, Rhabditida, Rhabditidae.
UUGUAGUCUGAAGUUUGCACA